AACGAACGCUGGCGGCAGGCUUAACACAUGCAAGUCGAACGCCCCGCAAGGGGAGUGGCAGACGGGUGAGUAACGCGUGGGAAUCUACCCAACUCUACGGAAUAACUCAGGGAAACUUGUGCUAAUACCGUAUACGCCCUUCGGGGGAAGAUUUAUCGGAGUUGGAUGAGCCCGCGUUGGAUUAGCUAGUUGGUGGGGUAAAGGCCUACCAAGGCGACGAUCCAUAGCUGGUCUGAGAGGAUGAUCAGCCACAUUGGGACUGAGACACGGCCCAAACUCCUACGGGAGGCAGCAGUGGGGAAUAUUGGACAAUGGGCGCAAGCCUGAUCCAGCCAUGCCGCGUGAGUGAUGAAGGCCUUAGGGUUGUAAAGCUCUUUCACCGGAGAAGAUAAUGACGGUAUCCGGAGAAGAAGCCCCGGCUAACUUCGUGCCAGCAGCCGCGGUAAAAUGCGUACU
This 456-nucleotide ribosomal RNA is filed under the name uncultured bacterium. Its description in RNAcentral is "bacterial SSU rRNA". It matches the Rfam family "Bacterial small subunit ribosomal RNA", at positions 29 to 531 of the family's 1533-position model. The record is from RNAcentral.